Molecule: long non-coding RNA, 222 nt
Filed under: Lathyrus oleraceus (garden pea)
Lineage: Eukaryota; Viridiplantae; Streptophyta; Magnoliopsida; Fabales; Fabaceae
Description: Pisum sativum (pea) long non-coding RNA (PSAT_LNC006730)
Source: RNAcentral
ACAAAUUGGUCAAAAGAGGACUUUUACCAAAUUAAUAUUAUUCAUUCAUUUUGGGAGAUGGAAUGUACAUUCCAUCAAUCCCCUAAAUCCAAUAAUAUUAACUUGACAAAGUCACAAAAGAGGACUUUUACCAAAUUAAUAUUAUUCAUUCAUUUUGGGAGAUGGAAUGUACAUUCCAUCAAUCCCCUAAAUCCAAUAAUAUUAACUUGACAAAGUCAAAUC